This 208-nucleotide ribosomal RNA is filed under the name uncultured bacterium. RNAcentral describes it as "partial 16S ribosomal RNA". It matches the Rfam family "Bacterial small subunit ribosomal RNA", at positions 568 to 774 of the family's 1533-position model. The record is from RNAcentral.
CUCGUAGGCGGAUCCGCCAGUCUGACGUGAAAUCUCCACCGCUCACCGGGGAGGGGCCGUUGGAUACUACGGAUCUGGAGUUCGGCAGAGGACCAUGGAAUUUCGGGUGUAGCGGUGGAAUGCGUAGAUAUCCGAAAGAACACCGGUGGCGAAGGCGGUGGUCUGGGCCUGAACUGACGCUGAGGAGCGAAAGCCAGGGGAGCAAACG